CAUUACUUACCAUUAUCCCAGGGCCUCAUCUGGGCACCUGGUCUUCGCGUUCCAUACCGUGCCAGGCCGUAGAAUGGGGUCCUGGUCUUUCAUACCGUGCCAGGCCGUAGAAUGGGGUCCUGGUCUUUCCUCAGGGACUAAUUGGAUCAUACAGCAUUCACCCACAUCCACAACAAAGAAUGCAGUGCAACAUAUUCGUGGAUUCUAAUGCAACAACCUAUUAU
This 224-nucleotide long non-coding RNA is filed under the name Manihot esculenta (cassava). Its description in RNAcentral is "long non-coding RNA (MESC_LNC007428)". Lineage: Eukaryota; Viridiplantae; Streptophyta; Magnoliopsida; Malpighiales; Euphorbiaceae. The record is from RNAcentral.